GACGAACGCUGGCGGCGUGCUUAACACAUGCAAGUCGAACGGAAAGGCCCCUUUGGGGGUACUCGAGUGGCGAACGGGUGAGUAACACGUGAGUAACCUGCCCUUGACUUCGGGAUAACUUCAGGAAACUGGGGCUAAUACCGGAUAGGAAUCCUUGCUGCAUGGUGGGGGUUGGAAAGCUUCGGCGGUUUUGGAUGGACUCGCGGCUUAUCAGCUUGUUGGUGGGGUAGUGGCUUACCAAGGCUUUGACGGGUAGCCGGCCUGAGAGGGCGACCGGCCACAGUGGGACUGAGAUACGGCCCAGACUCCUACGGGAGGCAGCAGGGGGGAAUAUUGCACAAUGGGCGGAAGCCGGAUGCAGCAACGCCGCGUGCGGGAUGACGGCCUUCGGGUUGUAAACCGCUUUCAGCAGGGGCGAAGCUUGUGGUGACGGUACCUGCAGAAGAAGCACCGGCUAACUACGUG
This 465-nucleotide ribosomal RNA is filed under the name uncultured bacterium. RNAcentral's name for it is "partial 16S ribosomal RNA". It matches the Rfam family "Bacterial small subunit ribosomal RNA", at positions 28 to 507 of the family's 1533-position model. The record is from RNAcentral.